AGUGAACGCUGGCGGGAGGCCUAACACAUGCAAGUCGAACGAGUGGCGGACGGGUGAGUAAUAUCUCGGAAUCUGCCCUGUCGUGGGGGAUAACGUCUGGAAACUGACGCUAAUACCGCAUACGAUUGAAUGAGCCGAUGUCGGAUUAGCUAGUUGGUGGGGUAAAGGCCCACCAAGGCGACGAUCCGUAGCCGGUCUGAGAGGAAGAGCGGCCACACUGGAACUGGGACACGGCCCAGACUCCUACGGGAGGCAGCAGUGGGGAAUAUUGGACAAUGGGCGAAAGCCUUAUCCAGCCAUACCGCGUGGGUGAUGAAGGCCUUCGGGUUGUAAAGUCCUUUUGUUAGGAAAGCGGUAUCCAAAGAAUAAGCACCGGCUAACUUCGUGCCAGCAGCCGCGGUAAUAC
This 406-nucleotide ribosomal RNA is filed under the name uncultured bacterium. Its description in RNAcentral is "partial 16S ribosomal RNA". It matches the Rfam family "Bacterial small subunit ribosomal RNA", at positions 29 to 526 of the family's 1533-position model. The record is from RNAcentral.